UAGGGAAUCUUCCGCAAUGGGCGAAAGCCUGACGGAGCAACGCCGCGUGAGUGAUGAAGGUCUUCGGAUCGUAAAACUCUGUUAUUAGGGAAGAACAAAUGUGUAAGUAACUAUGCACGUCUUGACGGUACCUAAUCAGAAAGCCACGGCUAACUACGUGCCAGCAGCCGCGGUAAUACGUAGGUGGCAAGCGUUAUCCGGAAUUAUUGGGCGUAAAGCGCGCGUAGGCGGUUUUUUAAGUCUGAUGUGAAAGCCCACGGCUCAACCGUGGAGGGUCAUUGGAAACUGGAAAACUUGAGUGCAGAAGAGGAAAGUGGAAUUCCAUGUGUAGCGGUGAAAUGCGCAGAGAUAUGGAGGAACACCAGUGGCGAAGGCGACUUUCUGGUCUGUAACUGACGCUGAGGCUCGAAAGCGUGGGUAGCAAACAGG
This 429-nucleotide ribosomal RNA is filed under the name Bacteroidota bacterium. Its description in RNAcentral is "Bacteroidetes bacterium partial 16S ribosomal RNA". It matches the Rfam family "Bacterial small subunit ribosomal RNA", at positions 355 to 776 of the family's 1533-position model. Lineage: Bacteria; Pseudomonadati; Bacteroidota. The record is from RNAcentral.